This 484-nucleotide ribosomal RNA is filed under the name uncultured bacterium. Its description in RNAcentral is "partial 16S ribosomal RNA". It matches the Rfam family "Bacterial small subunit ribosomal RNA", at positions 36 to 507 of the family's 1533-position model. The record is from RNAcentral.
CUUUCCCUCUGGCUUCAUGCUUUACACAUGCAAGUCGAACGGCAGCGCGGGCUUCGGCCUGGCGGCGAGUGGCGAACGGGUGAGUAAUACAUCGGAACGUGCCCAGUAGUGGGGGAUAGCUCGGCGAAAGCCGGAUUAAUACCGCAUACGACCUGAGGGUGAAAGCGGGGGAUCUUCGGACCUCGCGCUAUUGGAGCGGCCGAUGGCAGAUUAGCUAGUUGGUGGGGUAAAGGCCUACCAAGGCGACGAUCUGUAGCUGGUCUGAGAGGACGACCAGCCACACUGGGACUGAGACACGGCCCAGACUCCUACGGGAGGCAGCAGUGGGGAAUUUUGGACAAUGGGCGAAAGCCUGAUCCAGCAAUGCCGCGUGUGUGAUGAAGGCCUUCGGGUUGUAAAGCACUUUUGGCGGGAACGAAAAGGACUGUGCCAAUACCACGGUUCGAUGACGGUACCCGCAGAAUAAGCACCGGCUAACUACGUG